CAAAAACCAAAUAUCAAGAAACUAACAUUUAUACUUACCCAAAUCAACAUUAAACAAUGCAACGAACACUUAUGGCCAACAACCAACAAUGACAAUGAUAAAAACCCAGGAUUAAUUUAAAGAACAAAAAUACAAUGGCCAAAAAGUGAAAAAGAAGGAGGAAACAAAAAGAAAGAGGGAAAAACGUGUGAGGGAGAAAAUGGAAAAAAAAAACUAAUAUGACUAGAAAACAGAACGUGGAAAUUUUUAAGGGAACACUUCCUAUUUUCAAAUUAAAAGUAAAUAAAUAGUUAACCUUUAAAACAAAACUAGACUUAAACCAAAACUAAAAUAACACACA
Molecule: long non-coding RNA, 340 nt
Filed under: Gossypium raimondii (Peruvian cotton)
Lineage: Eukaryota; Viridiplantae; Streptophyta; Magnoliopsida; Malvales; Malvaceae
Description: long non-coding RNA (GRAI_LNC004129)
Source: RNAcentral